GAGCUUCGUGACGUCUGGAUCUUGCUUUUCACCGUAGGGAUUAAGAAGUUAACGGUUUGUUUAUGUUUUAGGUCUUCGUUUCUGCGGCUGUAGUUUUUCUGCUGUUUCUGUCCUUUUGUUUCUUAUAGUUGUUUUGUUUGUGUGAAUUGUUGUAGGGCGUUGUUUGGCUGUUGCAGUUGCGAGGAUAGUCUUUCCUGGUUGUAUUUGUUAUCCAAAUCACCAUGAGAUUAUCUAAGCGAUUGGGAUUGAGUGACUUGUUUGUGAUGAUUUGUUGGUGAAUUGGAAGUGUUAUUGGAUGUUUAGCUUGCUGAAUGGUUUGUUUAUGUUAUAUAUGUGGGUGUUAUCUCAUAGCUUGUGUGUAUAGCUCGUAGAUGGGAGGAUCGCUCUCACUGAUUAUUUGUGAUAAUACUCACGCAUCUCAUUGUGUUUGUGGUGCAAGUAAAUUGGGAUCCGUGGAAUCAUGGCGAGGAAGAGGAGGAUGAUCUAGGGUCUCGGUUGUUAUGUUUAUGAAUAUGUUAAUUGUUGUUGGAACCUGGUUUAUAUGCAUGCUAGGUUGCUGGUGUAAAUUGUGGUUAUUGAAUGAUUGAUUAAUUAAUAAUAUGAUUAAUUGCUGUUGGUUUAA
This 622-nucleotide long non-coding RNA is filed under the name Capsella rubella. RNAcentral's name for it is "long non-coding RNA (CRUB_LNC002196)". The record is from RNAcentral. Lineage: Eukaryota; Viridiplantae; Streptophyta; Magnoliopsida; Brassicales; Brassicaceae.